This 16074-nucleotide long non-coding RNA is filed under the name Gallus gallus (chicken). Its description in RNAcentral is "lncRNA (ENSGALG00010023739.1)". The record is from RNAcentral. Lineage: Eukaryota; Metazoa; Chordata; Aves; Galliformes; Phasianidae.
GUCACCACCAUUAACUGUGUAUUUUCACCACCGAAGAUCAAGAGCCAGCAUGCCAUGCUCAUAAAAAUCUGCAUCAGUGGAGGUGACCCACUGUUUCACAGGUGCUAUGACAGCAUGAUUACCAGGUAGAAAUCAGAAGGCAUCAAAUCCAGACUGUGCAAUGGGUGUGGUGGGACAGUCCAGCCAAGAUGGGCAAGGUCUUCCAUGGUCUUCAAACUGAUAUGGAGCCUGGUGUUAUAAUAUUGCAGGAGAAAGGCUUUCUUCUUCUCUGGCCUGACUCUGGAAGUUUGAGCCAUCGGCUGACUAAGUUGUGAUGAGUGGUCAGAGUUAAUGGUUUCACUUUCACAGGAACCUGUCACCUUCAGCCUCAUAUUUGUUCAGUAGAUUCCGGCAAACUUGCAAACUUCUUUCUGUUCCUAUGUGAGCAUUUGUGGAACCUGGUACAAACUUUGUGAUAUUCCAAUGUUGCCAUUGUUGUUUCUAAUGCACUGAAGCUGAUAUUCAACUUCAUACGUAGUUCUCUGGUUGUAAUCUGCCAGUUCUCAUGGAUGAGCUCACCAAGACUUUCAUUUUGUGGUGUUACUGCAGUGCAUGGCUGUCCAGAAUGUGGUUUGUCUUUCACAUCACUGUUGCCACUGCUGAAAUGCACUACCCACCACCUCACUGUGCUCACAUUUGCUCUUUGGUCUCCACAAAGGUUCACCAAACAUUGAAGAAUGUCAGUGGGUGCUGUUUUUUCCACACAGAGGAAUUCAGUGACACACCUUUGCUUCAUAUGCACUUCUAUGUCAGAUGCCGUUCUGUCAGACUGCCCCUCUGCUGCCAUCUGUCACGCAGCAACAAAAUGCAAUGGAAUAUUGGUGGGAAGAUUCAACCUCUAUUGCCAUACCACCGACAUCCACCUCUGAUGUUGUGGUUCAACAUAAUAAAACAGGUGACAUUACUUUCAGAGCAACCUUUACAUAAUCAGCCACAGAACACAAAAGCUUGUGAAUAUGCUUCCUUGUGGUAAAAAUAGAAAAUCUUUUCUUAGAAUAGUCACAACCAUAAAUUUGGUCAUUUGAAUGCUCACAAAUAGCCUGAAAUCUGUCUGUUUGUCUAACUACACAAGAAGAUGCAUCACUUCCAAGAACACAUGGAACUACUUGCUGUGUGCAUGUAUGAUAAUUAUUUUCAUGUUAUAUAGUCUGUCUAACAACAGUUUGCACAGUGCCUAUGCAUAUGCCUCUCUUAAAUGACUACAUUAACUCAAUCAAUCCAAAGAUGAAAAAUCUGUUUCCUGAACUAUUCAGAUUGUUUAACCAUUCAUUUUCUUCCUUUUGAUGUGUAGCUGCAUUUCAGUGUUUAUAAGCAUAAUUCAGUGCUGUCACAAUUGAGUUUUCUGUAACUUUUUACUCAGUAGUGCAGUAAAAAGCAUACAGCUUAUGAGAUAACAGUGUUAUGUAAAUAGGUCAUAAAAUGGAAACUGUUCCCUGUUUAGAAGUGUAGUGCCACUGAAGCAGGUAAAAAUGGUUUUCAUCCAAUCUUCGUACUGAAAAUUUAUUUUAUCUCAUUUGACUGAGAUUUCUUUGCUACUCUGCUUCCAUUUAUGAAUAGUCCACUUUUUGCUGUUGAAUAACAGAAUUGCAUUAAUUCGUUAAUCAAAUUCUGUACAUGUAAAACAUUGUUUGAUCUCUAAUCUAAUGUUCUGUUUCAAGGAGUGCCCAAUAGCAGGUAAUCAGUGUAAGAUUAAAAAUAAAAAGGUUCUGUAAUAGAUUGUUUCACGUGACAAUUUCUCAGGAAGAUCAAACAUGCCAGAUGUUAAACAAAUAUCCAUUGAACUGUUUUCCUUUUGAGAACACUUAAAAGAUUAAACUGCAGAAUGUUUUACAUUUCCUGUAAUGUCAUUUGCGAUGUGUAAACUAAUGCUAGAAUCUCAAUUUGAGAUGAAUACCCAGAAGCAAAACUUUAUUGCAGUGUGUUUCAGGUCAUUGAAGGAUGAAAGAGUUAGGAAGACAUGCCUCUAGAAAUACUGUUCAAUACAAGGCAGGCCCUAUCUUGCAGGCUGUUUCCCUCAACCUGACUUGGAAGCAGUUGAGGCAAGUGAAAUAGCAGAGGAGGCAUAUGUUUGUUUCUUAAAAUUACUGCUGUGUGUAGCACUACUCUGUCCUUACCGACUUUUUCCUUUCUGUAGAUCACUUAAAUUUUAUGUAAGGAAGGGGUCUCCACCAUGAACUUUGAGUUGUGAAAAAUACAUAGCAAGACAACACAUUACGUGUUAAUUUUGAAUACACCUAGCGUAAAUAAUUGCACUUUCCUUCUCCACAUAAUGUAAUUCCUCUGUGUUCAUGAUAGAAAACUAGACAGCCACCACAGAUGUAGUGAUGCUCUGUAAUUACUGAGAAAUGUGGAUUUUCCCAGGUACUCAUUUCCCUGAAUUCUAUCACCGUAUGCCUCAUUUGGAGGCUGACUGUAUGGUUGCUUCACAAUAACUGCUAUUCAAAGACAUAAGCAAAGAAAUACACACUUAGCUUGUCAGAAGGCAUUGAAUUUCAUUGUUUUGAUAUGUUUAUUUUAGAAAAGUUGCAGCAUUAAUUGUAUUCAUUUCCUAUUAGUUUCUGGCUUUGACUCACUUCUGUGCUCAGAAUGAUUAAGAAACUUCUGGGAAGAUGUUAACACAUUCUCCUCUUCCCACAUCCCCCAAUUCAAAAUAUACAUAUAUAAGCUAAAAAAAUGCUUCAAAGCCACAAAAAAGGGAAUUUCAGGCUGCUAAAAUUUUUAAAAUAUUACCAAAAAAUACCCAUAGUGUAUCAAAAUAGUUAGGAACUGUUUGUUCAUGAGAACUAAGAGGGUCUCUUUUUUAAAUCCCUCUCACUUUGCCCAGAUGUGGUAGAGCAGGAAGAUGUAUAUUUUAAAAGGAGAAGGGACAGCUAAUCUGAAGGAGCUUAAGAGAUGCAUUGGAAGCAGAGGCUGGUGACGUUUUAGCAGGUAGUGAUGCCUGUGUGGUAGCUAGCCAAGAAGUCUGGUCCUAUGAAUUAUUGAAUGGAAUUUGGGAAUGAACUGAGAUGACACCUGGAACCUAAAGUUGACUAAGCAAGAUACUGAGACAAUGCCAAGAAAGUGGCAGAUAAAGAGCAAAGCAAAUGAAGGUUAGAACUGAGUUGCAGGGAAGAAAUGUCAUUGAUGGGACUGACAAGCCAGGCAUAUAUUGGUUAUAUAUAAUUUGUUAUAUUGUGUUGAGGGAUAUGGUUUAGCGAGAACCAUUGGUGAAGGGCGAAUGGUUGGACUGGAUGAUCCUGUGGGUCUUUUCCAACCUUAGCGAUUCUAUGAUUCUAUAAAUUUCUACUUAUUUUUCAAUCCAGAGGUAGGCUGUUCUUCUCUCCUAAGUAAUUAAUAUAUGUUUGAAGCUGAGAAAAGACUAUAAAGUAUGUGAAUUUUGAGUGAGUAUUCUAGUCAUCAUUUCAGGGAACAGGAGCACUACCCUGUAGAACUGGCAUCUAUGCAGAGCUGGAUAAACUAAGCGAUGGAAUAUGGUUCUGGCCUUUGAAUUCUCAUCUCAGGGAGCUGUCUUAUCCAGAAAGGAAAGAAUUUCAGACAGACUCCUUUCUUCAGCUUUUCCUAACAAAUUAUUUCCAUUCUGCAUGUUUGGUGGUGUGACACCUGCUCCAAGCUUCCUGUGGCUCCCAUUUGUACAGAAAAUGGUGGCAAAAUGGGGGACGUAGGAAAGAUUUGGGCCUGACAUAGGCAUUUCAGUGUCAGCAGCAACAUCUCACAUGAGCCUUAGUACUUGGGUGCAAGUUUUACCUGGCAAUUCUUUGGCAGAAUUAGAGACAGAAUCCAUUUGUCCUGGGAAGCAUGUAACUCAGCUAUUGGACUAUCUUUGCUGUCCUCAACCUUUCUGGCUCUUCCCCUGUGCAUCUUCUUUCUUGACAAAUAAUGACUCAUGGAGCUUUUCAUAAGACUCUUUUGCCUUUGAAUUCCUUCCACCCAAGAGAAGGAAACAGGACUAUUCUACAGCUAAAAGAUGUGGGAAGAAAAAACUGUGUUAACUUGUAAGUGAAAUGUUAAUGUAUAGGGCCAUUUAUUACUUUUUAAAAAAAUAGCUUUGUCAUAUGAAUAAUUUUAACCUAUUUUACGCAUGUGAUGUAUAAAGCUUGUUAAUACUUACAUUAUUUUUACACAUUUACAACCUUUUCAACCUAUUCACCUGGAAAAUCUAUGGCAAACAAGUGUAUAGUACACAUGCCCUAUGAGAAUUUCUUCUGAACUAAAUUUCAUUUGGAUAUAAGAAAUUAAUUCUAUAAUAAAAUGACCUGAGAAAAUCAAGUCGUACAGACCAUAGCUCUGACUUUUUUUCUUGGGUCCUCAAAAUCAACUGGUGUAGUAUCUUCAUUAUGUUAUUUCAUUUGAAAAGCACUGAAAAUGCUGUGACAGGAAGAAGGUGAUAGGAUUUUUAGGAAUAUUUUUCCUGACGUUACUUGUAAAUUUUAAUGUCGGUGGGAUCUUAGCAGAAGUAGUUUAGAAGUAGUUGUAGUUUGGCCAGACUGCAUGCUGCUUGGUCACAAUUUUAUGUUGUUGGAAUGUGUUUUGCCUGUGUAGAAGCGGAUAAUCAGCCUUGCUAACCAUAUGCCUAAAAAAUGUUAUCUAAUAACAGUACAUCCUUGGUUGUACUAAUGGGAUUAAAACUAUCUUGCAUACUUUUCAAGAGGCCUUUAUCCUGUGGAGACAUACACACUAAGGAGGGACAACCCUGCUAGCAGUUGUUAAAUUCACAUACCAUUUGCAACCUUUUCUAAUCAUACUCUUCCUAGGAAGCCCACCACAUUUGCCACAGUUUCCUUGGAAUGAGACCAAGUGUGCUUUAAAUUGAUACAAGCUUAUUUGAGAAAGUCUGUCAAAGCUGUCACCAGAAACCAAAAAUAGUUUCUUCAGACAGAAGGCUUGUUCCUUUCAUGAAUUUUUGCUAAGCAGAUGUGGCUUCAACCACUGUUUGAAUUUGUGUCUCACUUUCAGAGGUCAAGAAUAUUUCAAAACAGUUUUGACAUAGACUCCUCUCUGGUUUUUUCUCGUGGUUACCUUUCAAAAGACAGCCAACCUCUGUUGGUAUUUAAAUGGAAUUAAUCAGAAGAAAGAGGGACCUACGGGCCUUUCUAAAUCUCACCCAUUCCUCUGCUGUGAGAGCAGAGCUGUUGCAGCUGGAUUCCUGCAACUCCGGUGGCAAAGCACCCACCUGGAGUCUGUUCUCAGCUCAGCCACCAGAUCUGGCAGCUGGUCUCACAGCUCUAGACUUCUGUCUUUGCACCUGCAACAAGGCAGUAAAAAUCCUGACUUAAUGCAUAUUCUUAUUUCUAAUAUUGUUAUUUGUUAGUGUACGUAUGGCAGGUUAUUGAUGGCUUAAAGGAGCAUCAGCUGUUGUGACUGAGGUCUUUGGGGUGUUUUGCCAAACUACUGUAACAGCAUUGCGCAUAAAGCAACAAGAUUUUGCAUUUUUUUUGUGUCCUUACAUGGACAGAUAGGUUGAUGACUUUCUAAUUCAUCAGUCUUGUUCUGUAAGGACAGCCACUGAACUUUUCUUUUUCAAGGAAGGUGGUGAGCAAAAGACAAUAAAAAACCACUAGCUGAUUUUCUUUUAGAUUGUGUUCCAUGCACGAUAGAGUUCAUGCUAUAUCUAAGCAUAGUUGUGUCUGUUUAUAAAUGAAAAUCUCUCAGAAACAUGAGAAAUGACUUGAAACAUGAGAAAUUGAUUUUGUAAAAAUUAUCAGUCGUGAUUUUGCUUCUGCCCUGUACUGUAACUACUAUAACCUUAAUCCAUAAAUCCAGUCUUCUUUGGGAAAGUCUUAGCUGGUGUUAAUCACGAAAAUUAGAAAACUUGAAGUAUAAAAAGAUAAUGGAUUGCACCUACAAAUGUAUUCUUCAGUUCUAUAUGCAAACAAGCAGCUGCUCACAGAAAACUCUGUGUGAACACUGCAGUUUUAAUUUGUCAUCUUUGUUUUUCAGUGGCAUACCUUUAAUAUCACUUACAUUUCUGUGAAAAAUAUUUUUAUUACUUACCAGAAUUGUUUGCACUAUAAUGGAUUAUCUUUUUCCAUUUAAAAACACUAAAACAUUCUGUCUAUUAUCUCAUUUGUAGUACAACUUGGAAAAUGCAGGAAGGAUAUUGCAGUAUUCUCACGUGUGUCCGUUAUUCAUUUUCCUGCAGAGUAUUGGAAAUCUGUGUCAAAAUCCAUCUCUUUGGCUGACCUUUGGGAAGGCUCCGUUGAUGUGUUCUGGGAGGUUUCUGUCACUCACGGCCUGCUGUCCUUCUGUGUCAGAGGAAACCCAGUGUAAUGAGACAUGCUGCUAAGAAGGUUCUGGAGGAGGCUAGAGCACUCUUACCUGCAAUACCUGAGGAAUGUGCUUUUGUAGAACACUCAAAACGUACUUAUGAUUCUUCGGGCACAUAAGGCUGGACAGUCCAUUCACAGAUGGCCUUGAAGUCUUCAGCUUCUCUUGACUCAUCUGUGGCUGUAUAAAAGUUUGUCAAAGAAUGUGUGCACAUUAGACAUCUGCCCAGCCUGCAGUGCCUGAGUCAGGCACACUAAUAAGCUUGUGGUUGUCCUUCACAUUCUCUGAGUUUUUACUUAUUAGGCAGAAAAAGUGUUUCAUGGAGAUUCAUAGAAUGGCUUGUGUUGGAAGGGACCUCAAGGAUCAUCAAGCUCCAGUCCCCCUGCCGCAUGCAGGGCCACCAACCUCCAUAUCUAAUACUAGACAUAUAGACUUAUACAUACAGACUACACUAAGUAAUCUAUUAGAGCUUGAGAUAAUGGAAAGUCAUUUGGAAACUGGGAUCAAAUGAGAAAGUUGCACUUGGGCAAUGCAUAAUGUGUACAUGCUAAAGAUUGGUCAAGAUGAAUACUCUCAUCCAGAAGUCCUGUAGAUACAUCUUCACAAUGGGAAGUAUUCCACUGAAGCUACCUGUCCAUAUUAACAUGGCACAGAAUCCACAAAUGCUUCACUCCACUUCUCAGGCAAGCAGUGGAAGAAUUCUUGUAUCUUUCAUCUGUUGCUGCAAAGUGGUGCACAAGUCAAAAUCACAAUUGAAAAGUUAACAGUUGAUCAACCUUACUAUAAGCCUACUGAUACAAGAUCUGCAGAAAGGAAGGACUGGAUUAUUUGGGGGAAGAAAGCAAAAACAUUCAGAUCCUACAUCCAGAAGAAUUGCUGUUAAUGUUUACAGGUUUCAUGUAUGUUCUUUUGCCUGAGCUGUGCUUUGGGGUGCAUUGGCUCUUUUCUCUGGAGUAAAACAUGAAAAAUCUUCCUUUCUUUGGUGAUCUCCAGAGCUUUUUAAAGGUACGGUAGAACAAUAGUACUCUCACAGUAGUUUUAAUGGGACAGAAGUGUUGCUGUGUUGUCUUACAGAUUUUAUCAAAUUGUGCUUAGAAUUCAUUCAUUUUGAUCACUCAUAUUAUAGACAAAAUUCUUCUUGUAGGAUGUUUAUAUGUCCCAGAGCAUUCAUAAUGCACUGUGUUCAGCCAUCUACAAGCAUUUAAUUACAGACCGUCUGUUUCAUGUAAAAAAUAUUUGCCAAGACUCUUUUGGCAGAGUAAGGAGUGAACUUCGUAAAGGAAAACCAAGUUGCUCAUCGGUGGUGGCAGCAAAAAUGAGGAAAAGAACUACCCAAGAGUUUCUUGAAGAUUCCAGUUGAUGGAUCCUGGCCUGAUUGGGUCUCUUAUAUAAACCUUGAUGGAAUGGUGCUAAAUUUUGCAUGGAAACCUUUAUUUUUUUCCCCACUUCAACAACUGUAGCUGAAUGUACAUUUAAAAAUGGUAUUUGAAAAUUAAACUCAUAAGACAUCAUUAUACAAGACAUAAGCACAAACUUAGUACAGAAAGGGAGAAAGCAUCCAGUCUUUGAAAAUAAUGUUUGUGCCUUGUGCUUUUUUAAAACAUAAACAUAGAUUAUCAGCACACUACUAAAGUGAGGCUGCAUCUCACCUUCCACAGUCUCACAGCAUAAAAAUAGCAUAUUUGAACUUACCAGAAGAUUGAUGUUUCUUUGCUUUCGUAUUACUUUUUCCUUUGUAUUUUAUGAAAAUGUAUGCCUUGCUGUCCAAUGUUGAAAAUAUCCACUGAGGUGAUUUUAAAGUUAAACCUGAAGAUUCAAGUUGGAAGUUACUGAAGGAUGAGUUUGGGUUUUUUCAAAGUGCUAUUAUUUUGACUCCUUGAGGGCUCCACAUGAAUACUUUACCUCUCCUUUUCUUUCUUUGGUUUGAGAUUCAUAACUGCAGCUGCUGUGCAAAGUAAAGUUUCCAUUGAGGACUAGCUGACCAAAUUUGUCAUGCUGAAAGUGAAAGUUGUAUCAGAAAGAGUGGGGUUUCCUUCAGUGCAGCAAGUCUGAGUACUGGAGCAGGUUCUAUUUCAGUCAUCCCUCCACUUCAGCAUAUAUCAACAGAUGGAAUCAGUGCAUCUUUUCUGUUGUACUUCAGCCUCCUACUCACUGACCACAGCAGGGACUAUGUCACGUCAUUGAGCACCAAGAGACACUGGAGAGAGGGAGUCCAACUGCCCACAGAGGCCCUGAGGUGCCUGGAGGAGGGAAACACCCCAGGGUAUCUCAUCUUCCUCCUCCACCCUCCUCCCAAAGCCAAAUGCCCAGAAUGUGCUGAGCUGAACUGAAACCCUGCCCUGUGGCCUUGGGGAGCAGUCAGCUAUGUGGCUGUAGACACCAUAUGCUGAGGGAGCACCACCUUCCUGCUUUCACUGGCAGAAGUGAGUUUCCCUUAAAAACCAGCAAAUUAUGCAGUUUCACACCUGACUCUUCAGUUGAGCAGGUGGAAAUGUCCUUUUCUGGGCCUCAACAGUAAAGGAGCCAAAGGCCAGGGGUCAGCUAUUAAGUUCAGCUGUUCCCUAUUGCAGGUUCAACUCAUGCUCCCUGGCCUGGCUGUGCUCUGAGGCACCUUGAGGCACUUGUGCCUUUGCGGUAUGAGCUCAUUUGUUGUCAUUUCCACUUUGGGGUGGGAAAAAAGGUCAUAAGAAGAGAUCAGUAAAUGUGCAGCAUUCAUAAAGCAAGGCCGCUUCAAAACAGACACGUUGCAGUGUUAUCAUAUCCAGGAAAACAGCAACAGACAGCGUAACUUUAAAAUACCACCCAGAAACUCUUGCUUGGAAAGGACAACUCACAGCAUCAAAGCCUGGACGUACUUGCCAAACCAUGCUUUAACUUACUGCCAAGACACCAGAUUUAUCCCCUUAGUAGCAAUGAUGCGCUAGGCAAGAUGGUGAUUGCUACAGCAAAGUGGGGAUGGGUUUGUUUCACAGUGGUCACGAUGACAGAAGGAGCCCUGCAGAUAUUAAUACUUGAUGAGAAAGGUACAUGAAAUUAGCCUGUGAACUGUUUGUGGAUAAAUAUCUCUCAAGCAUACAAUAAGAAUUCAAGCAAAUUAAUUUAACAGCUAGAAGUCAAAUGUAAUGAAAAAAUAUUUAUGAAAAUUUUGUAUGUUUAGGUGAAUAGUUUCAAACCAAAAAUAAAUGAGAAAUAAAUACAGCCUAGUAGAAAUUGGACUGUGUUUAGAUUCUGAUAAUCUGAAAGGGCAUUUUUUAGCAUAAGGAUAAGUUCAGGUGAUUAUUUAAAGAAUAAGAUCAGAAUGGCUGUUCUUGACUUUAAUUUGGAGCCAAAAUAUUCUAUGUAAAGAACUUGUAAAAUCCAUGUCCCCUUUAGUUCUACAGUCAGUAAUUACUCACAGGAUAGAGUAUUCAGAUUUAUGAGGAAGAAGGAGAGAGUGGCAGUAAGUUGUUACUUCUAUUUCCAGCCAAUGUUUGCAAAUUCAAUGGCAAUAACAAACCAAAAACCUGACUUUCUCCCUUCAAACCGCUCUAUAUCUGUGGUCAAAAAUGUAUAGCUAUGUUUUACAUCUUUUUUAGCACAUAAACAUUUAAGGAUACUUACCUCAACCACACGACAAUUUUCUGAGCCUUGCAAGUCUUACAAAUCCCUAAUCACAGUUGGAUGUAUUCAGUAAUGUAGAAUUAAGGAGUAACAGCUGAAAUGCACCUGGGUUAGGUGGCUACUGAGGUUAUAUGGUGUCGAAAUAAUAAGGUGUGGGUCUGGUUAGAGAGGGACCAGGCAUCUGUUCCCACCUCAGCUACAACUUCCCAUACUAGUACUCAUAUUGAGUACUGAGUAUUAUAGUACUGAGGAUUAUAGCACUAGUGAUUGUGCUAUAACAGUGAUUGUGAUUACUGAGGUAAUCUAAACAGAGAACUUUGCUUCUCUGGAAGUGGAGAAUAACUACUGUAUUUUAGUGACAUGCUGAUGGAACCUCAGUUUGGAUGUCCAAAGAUGUAGUUCCUGGCUGAUGCAUAUACAAGUAAAUUGUUACUGACUUAAUUUUGUCUUAAUGGGAUUCUUUUGUUGACAAGGUAAAUUUGUGACUUCUGAGCCGAGAAUUGUCUUUAGCUGGUGACAGCUUUCAUUUAGAGCAAGCAUUAUACUUAUUACCAUGACAGAGGCCCUUAAACAGGAAGAUGGAUAAAUUCUACUAGCAAGGAAUGGUAGCUGGCCUCUUGAUAACAUAUGGCAUAGCAUUGAACAACUUCCUGGAAACCUUAGCAGUGCAGAGGUUUGAAAGAACUGGACUGGCCUGCAGUUCAUAAACAUCAUAGGCUGAAUAAGCUGCUUCUAACUGCAUCAGAAACUUUUGCUCAUAUAUUUAGACUUUGCUUCUAGAACUAAAAGUGCUAAAAAGUGGCAAGACUAAAAAGGCAGCACAGCAAUAAAAAUUCCAUUUUGACUCUGGGGAGAGCCUCAGAGAUGUUGUGGUCAGAAUUUUCUCCAUUAUUUGCAAGUUCUCAAAGAAGAAUUUUCUUCAUUCUGGAUUAGCUUUUUGCAAAAUCUAUUAAGACUUUUAAUUUCAUUUAAAAAUAUUCUUAUGUUUUGAAACUUAGUCUGCAGGAAGUUUAACCAGACCUUAAUUAAGGACUCUGAGUGUGACAGAAGCUUGUGUAUCAACAAGGUGCUUUGCUUGUCUGCCCAAUAAAAAUACAAGGAGUAAUGCCUGUUUGGGGAGUAAGCAGAGCAGAAGCGAAGCAGGGAGGGGGGCACAAAUUAUGAGCUGCUUUGGUCUCCAUUGUCAGGAAGUACUUCACCACUUCCAUUGCCUCACUACAUCUCUUCUAUUAGAAAGCCUUUAUAAAUUACAGGAAUAAGUGGCCCUUAGCAAAUAACUUCAAAACAGAGCAACUAAAUAGGACUGAAGGAGAAUGGGAAACUCCAUUCUGCUACUGCUAAAGCAUAGUUCUGAGCUGCUGGCAUUUUUUCCCCCUCUCAGCUCAGGAUGAAAGACAAAAAUGUUAAUAAUUUCCACAAAUUGAAAAUCUGAAAAAUGUGAGCUGAGGUCAGCUGGAACAUUUCGUUUCUAUAAUUUUGUAAUAUCUUUUGACAAUGCUGAUCUGUCUUUAAUCAUUUUAUGCCUAAAUUUGCUAAGAUUUCAAAAUUUUAAGAAGUUCCAGCUUGAAGGAAACAAAAGCUUUCUAACUCAAAAUGUUGAAGAAAGACUAUAUUUUAAUGUUUUCAAAAAAUAAAUAAAUCAAGGAGCAAUAGGAAAUUGAGCCUUUUCUUAGCCAUUAGUCUGAGUCAUAACACAGAUCGGUAACAAAUGCUGUGUAUUUCAGUAGGAGAGCACUCCAGUGACUAACUUUUUUUCCUAUCCGGUUGACUGCAGUGACAUUUGGGUCAGGCCUACUAAGAUGGUUCUCCUAACUGUGCCAGUGCCAGAAAAAUGCUUGCAUGCUGAUAAGUCAAUGGAACAUCAAAGAGAAAUAUUCAUUUUUGUAGUCAAGAACAAGAUAUUUGAUGGUGGAACUAAUCCCUUGGCAAUAAAAAAUUUCCUUUACAGUCAAUUCUAUGAUUAAGCCAAAGCCACUUCUUUGUUCCUCCACCUGUCCCCGUGAGUCAGCAACGCUUUCCUCUUGCUUUUCCUCCAAGUCAGAUGACAGUGCCUCUCCUGGGCUGCAGACGCACAAGUGUUUUGCCUACAGUUAUGACUUGUUUAGCUUUUGCAGUGUUGGCAGCCUCUCUGAGCUCUGGCACACUUUCUUCCAAAUGGGAGAGUCUGGAGGGGGCAGUUUAUUUCUCAUACUGAUCGUGGUUUUGUUACUCUAAAAAUCAGGAGUUUGAAAAUCUCAUCACAACCAUUCGUAAUUUGCUUAGAACUGUAACAAAAAUGCUAAGUUUCAUCCUUAAAAGAGAAGUACUGAAAUGUUUAAGAUUUAAUCCCAUGGGAUUCUAAAAUAUAUAUAAUAGUAAUAGUAUAAUAGACAUCUUUGGGCCAAAUUAGCUCAUUGCGUUUAUCCCUUACCUGCAACUCUGAUGGGCACAAAGACAUGUCCACUUGGUAGUGUUGUACAUGUGAGUUACGCUGUUGUAACAUCUCUCUGAAAAGAGAUUCUUUUUUUGCAAGGACACCUUUGAAAUUCCAUCUCGUCAGUGUGUAAAGUUAUAACAGGAGCAAGAUGUUGUCCUCAAGUACCAGGCUGAGAGAUUAAUUCAAAUUUUGUUGCACUUUUGCUCUGAGUUAAGGUCAAUUGCAUGAAUGAACUUAAUAUUUAGUUUCCAUACAGGCAGAUCUAUAAUUCACUAUAUAUGCUUUAGCAUAUAUCAUAACUACAUUUUGCCUCUGAUUCUCUAUACUGAGGUAAGUAUUUGGUGGCAUUUGCCAGAUGUUCUUCCGAAGCCAAUGUGAAUAUCAACAACAUGAAGUAAGAGGUGCCACCUGUACCAGUGUCAUGCCAGGCCAGGCAGUGUGCUUCCCACCUAAUCACAGAGAGAAAGAAUCUGUGUGACUCAGAGCAGGCAAAGGAAAAUAAAUGUCAGACCUCUGGACUGAGAGCUCAGCUUGCCAGAGAGGAGGGUUGUUGGAGCCAGUGAACUCUCCAUUGCCUUACUUACUGGCUUUCAGGUCAGUGAUUUUUGUCCCCAUGGCAUCCAUCUCCCCCACAGAAACAAAAUUCUGCAUUUCACUGUUACUGCUUUGGUAAUAGCAACUGGACUGACCACUCUGAGGUAUGUUGUUGCUCAUACAGCCAGUAAACAUGGCAGUAAACAGGCCAACACAAAACACAGAAGAGUAUACAUAUCUCUGAGUGUGUUCAUACACAAACUUAAAACUGACUCCUCUCAUGCCAUAAUGAUGAGCAACAUAUUCUGACCAUUCCUUUCCCAUGCAGGCUUAGCCUGGCUGAUCUGUGUACUCAGCACUGAAACCUACACUUUUCCCAGGACCCAUCAGGUCAGACUGCUCAUAAACCAGUGCUUCUUUGAUGGCCCUCAUCCUGCUUUCAAUUGAUGUGGCAGUGCGUGAAUACAUAUGACCGAAAGCUUGAUAUAAAAUUCAUUUGUCUAAACACCACCUAUUUAUGUUUGAUGGCCUGAACAAUUAUUAAUCCUGAUUGGAAAUAUAAGUCAUUGUGUGCACAGUGUCCUGUCACAGCAUCCCUGUUAGCUCCCCUGAGGCCAAAUUCUCUGACAAUGCACACAGUGUCCGGUUCUUUCUGCACACAGCACCAUGCCCUUGCUGAAAUCCCAGGCAGGAAACCUCUUUUUCUGUAUGCUCACCAGUGUGGAUGAUCCCCAGGAAUUUCCCGGGUCUGCCAUUGUAUAUCCCACAAGACAAGAGACAGGCCUUGCACCGCUGUGCCCAACAGUUUCCAUAUUCUCACAUACUGUUCAAAAAUGCCAUAACACAUGCAACCUCAGUGAGCAUAGCAUGUGUCCUUCCUGCCAGGACAUGAGCUCCCACACAGACCUGUGCCUGGGGAGAGCUCUGAAGGAAACAGAGUCUUCUUUAACCCACUGUGAGAGCGGUAAGUACUAGAGCUGCUGCAGGCCUGCUCCUUGGUGGUAUAAUCCCUCUUUGCUUCCCUCUAAUCUCUGAAAUUCUCACUCUUAUUUAAGGACUCUGCUCCUCCUCUGCCAACAAAAUACCAAGUUCAAGGCUUCCAGAUAAGCUACAUCUGCCAAGCAAGCAGUCACAUAUAUGAAACCUAACACAGCAGGACCUACCAAUCGAUGCCUUGCUGGCUGCAUCUAGUAUGCACAUGCACCCGGUGCUCUUUUGUCAGCAGCUGUUCUACACAGCCACCCCCAGCCUCUGCACAGCCCACAGAAAUACAGAUAUUGGCCUGGGCUGUGGCAGUAUUUAUUUGCCUCAUCUGUCACAUCCUCUUUUAUUUUUCUGAUUCUACAAGAAAUGUGUGUCCUCUCUUUCUGAGUGAAUAAGAGGCAGAAGGAGAGAAGAGAGACCACAGAGCACUGUGGAUUAGACACUGUUCAAAGGCACGUUGAGCAGAAUGCAGCACAGACACCCCUGAGAAAAUUGCAUAGAUGAUUUUUGGGUCUUCAGAGUGGAUCAAACCAGGGUAAUCCUCUGUUCCCAGGAGCAUUGUAGGGAACAACCUACUAGGGGAUUGCAGUAGUGACAAAAUCAACAGACCGAUUUUGAAUGUUCAGUCUUGUAGAAGAAUCUUCAGUUCGAGUAUCUUCAUUUUAACUUCAGUCCGAUGUGCCAUUAUCCAUUAGAUGACAACAUUGCCGUACAUACAAAAAAAUCAAGGCUGUUCUGUUUUCUUUAAUGCUGAAUGAGUUAGAAAUGCAGUGUAAGGCUAUAACUAAUAUUCUAGUGCUGGUAGCUAAAAUUCCUGCAUGUUAAUCCAAAAAGGGCUAUAAUAAACAUUUACCUAGACCACCUACCUGAAAACAAGCACAAACUGAAUGAAGGGGCACUGUACCUCUGGCUAGAUAUUCCUGUAUCACCUCUUUCAAUGAUGCAAAAUUGAGAAUACAUCAGUUCUGUCACCCAGCAAAAGCCACAUGCACUGUCAGUUGAUACUCUUGCAUUUCUUACACAAUGAACUGCAAUGACACUUUUACUUUCUGUACAGUGAAUCAAUACAAGGGUAUAACCUCUUACCAACACAAUUCUAGAGAACUGAGAAACUUACUUUCUAUUCGAAGAGUAAGUUAUAUUUCCCUAAAGUCUGAAUGAAAAUGCAUGCAUAUUUCCCGCCCCCCCCAGCGCACUCAUUUACUUAAGUUUUCCCCAAGCAAAACAAAAAUAAUGAAGUAAAUUCCUUAAAGGUAAUACUGAAUCAAUCAGAAACACCAUGUUAAAUGAUUAAUACUAGGUAAAAUAUGUGCAAUCAAUAAGAUUAUUUAAAACUGAAUUUAUAGUGAGGUAGAAGGCUGGUGGGGCUGUUUAUUUUGCUUCCUUUUUUUUUUUUUUUGUGGCAUUAGUGGAUUUUGCUUUUUUUUUUUUAAUUUUCAUUUCAGAAAUGGAAUAGUCUGUUUGGUGAACUUACUCAAUUGCUCCUGAAAAUCAUUUGUCAGUGAAAGGAGUAAUGGGAACAUAAUAGCUAAGCCCUCAAAAGUUCAGCUGGAUUAAAAGCAAUUUGAAAUCUUUUUGGGAAUUAAAAUAAAGUUAUUUGCAGAUGGACUUCAUUAGAAAAACUGGUGGCAAGAAUUACUUCACAUCUCUAAAUGUGUCUAGCCAAUAUCCCCUAUGCCUUAAUAUUUUCAGUAUCAGAGAUGAACGCUUUCUUUGUGGUCAUCUGCUUGCUUUAAGGAAAUACCAUACAUUCACAUGCGCAAAUUUACACACAUAUGGAUAAACCAUAUAUAUGUAUGCAUACAUACACACAGUAUUUUUUAAUGUAAGUAGAUGACUGUGUACAUAAAGAGAUUUUCAGAAAUUUGUUUGAGAAUGAGCUACACUUGAUGCUAAGAAACAUACUGGUCCUAAACAUUUUUUAUUUUUUGAAAGCUGCACUUCAAAAAGAUAACAUCUUCUUUUAUACUAUUCUGAUAAUGUAAAUUAAAUAUUGCUAUUGCAAAAGUAUUUUCCUGCUGCGUAUGAAAUGGAUGCACCUUGGAGAACAUAUCUGCCUCCACGUCACUCCAGUACUUCCAGUUAGCUACAGUACCACACACAGGCAGGGAGUUAGGUGUAUAGCUAUCCAGACUGCAUAUAUUAUCUGAUUGGCAUGUCCACUUGCUCCUUUACUGCCAUAAAUGAGUGGCUGUGCAGGUGCCAUUAGCACAUGCAUCUUUUUCUGAAUGCGCCAU